GUGUAUGACAAAUCUGGAUAAACUGAGCGGGCCUAAACUACUGAAUAUGUCAGAACCAUCGCAGCUUAUGACUGAAGACACACGGGCUGCUCUUUAUGUUGCACUCCCGGUUCUUAGUCGAGGAAAGAAAUGGGUCCUGCUGUACAGUACAUGGAGGCAUGGUAUAUCUUUGUCAACUUUGUAUAGAAGAAGUAAUCUUUCCCCCGGGCUAAGUCUGUUGAUCAUAAAGAGGCGGUGUUUGGUGGUUUAGUUGAGGCACCCUUGAAACCGUCAACUAAGAAAAGAUAUUAGGGAUCAAAUGAUACAUUUGUUUUCACAAAUACCCCUGGUUGUCCUGUUAUAUUUCGUCCAACAGGAACUGCAGUUUUUCUCAAUACAGACUUUCCUUGAGAUUAGUAGUGGCAAAAUGGGCGGGUUGAGAAACAUGUGAAAACAAAUUUGGGUCAAAAC
Molecule: RNA transcript, 450 nt
Organism: Helianthus annuus (common sunflower)
Lineage: Eukaryota; Viridiplantae; Streptophyta; Magnoliopsida; Asterales; Asteraceae
Gene name: oxidation resistance protein 1-like
Exons: 4
Source: RefSeq, a predicted model, not a curated record